This 232-nucleotide long non-coding RNA is filed under the name Elaeis guineensis (African oil palm). RNAcentral's name for it is "long non-coding RNA (EGUI_LNC044375)". Lineage: Eukaryota; Viridiplantae; Streptophyta; Magnoliopsida; Arecales; Arecaceae. The record is from RNAcentral.
GGGGCAUGGAGAUCUAAUAGACACAAAACUAGGUGUCUGGGUUAGAGCAAAGAGAAGAAGAAGAGGGUCUUUUUUUAGAGUUGCUGGGUUCAUCUCUUCCCGUCCUCCAUCUAUAAGUUUUUUGAGAGUGUCUCAUCUAAAACUCCUUCUCCUACUUCUCAUCUUUGAAAGAGUCCAAAUCAAGAAGGAGGCAUCUGAUCGACCAUCGAAGAAGGAUCAGUACAGUACUAGC